UUGAGGCAGGAGAUAAAUGAAUUUGGUAGGACUAAUUCUGCAAUUGAAAAAUAAGCAGUUCAGUAUUGAAGAGAAAGAGGAAGAAUAUAAAUACCGAGGUGGGAAAUUCUGGUGUAUUCUUUGAAAUAUUUUCAGAGACAAACCACAGAAUGGGAACGUCUAAUACUUAUGUGGCAUACCUUGGAUUCUUGGCAGAUGAUAUCCAUUCAACAUAUAUUCUAGACUUCUGCUUUACAUUUUGUAAAAAUGUAGUUUAUAUGUAGUUUCAUAACAUAAAAUAACCUGUCUCCAAUUCAAUGCCCUCCAGAUGUGGUGUUAUUAAAUUCCCAGAAUCUAAGAAGCAAGUUUCCUCCAGAAGACUGAGUCAGCGCAGUAAGUUUGUAGAUUUUAUAUCAUUUAGUAGCAUAAGUUUUGAGCAUAGAUAUUUUCUUAUUUUCUAGGACAGGAGGCUUUUAUAAAAUGCAAGUUUUAUAAUUUUAUAAAGCUAUCAGUCUUCCUCUAGUUAGAUGCCAGUUUACAAAGCCACGGACCAAUAUUAGGUACUUGGGAUUCCUGAUUCAUGCAUGACAAAAAUAGUCGCACCACCCAUCUAAGCAUUAAUGAUUAAGCUUGCAAUGAAUAUCUGAUGAUGUGAGAAAAUACAAAGUAUAAACAUCAAGUACUACAAAGAUAUUUUAAAGAACAGUCUUUAUUUAAUAACUGUGUUCCUGAAUCAAAACUUCAGCGUAGACUGCAAAGCAGAAAACAUAGUAGCAAUUAUAAAUAUCACAUGAGCACACUGUGUAAAGAGCUUUUUGGCGUCUGAAUUGAACAAGGAGUGCAAAUUGCUUUAAACUGUUUUGGCCAGAAAGGAUUAAUCAUGGAAUUUGCCUGGCAAAAUUUCAGAAGUCUACAUCACUAUAGAAAAACAAUAAAAUUGUGUUGUACUAUACAAAUGUGUUCCAUUAAUAAUUUAUCCAUUAUUCAAGAAGAAACAUAGCAUUUUCUAAGCCUUUUCUCACAUUGAGACAAUGACAGCUGAGUGCUCAUCCAUCUACACUAAUUGUGCAACAAAAGAGAAAUAAGUCAUUAAAAGCAGAGUGAACAUUUGAAUGGAAAAUAUAAGACUGGAAUUAUUUUUAUAUAAAGUGGCACACUAUUUUCUCAAGACAUACAAUUUUUAUGAAAUGAAAUUAAAAUUUUGAACAUGAUCUAAAUAUAUGGGUGUUUUUUUUGCAAAUUUUUACUUUACAUAAUGCAAAAGUGGCAUAUGAUCAAAUGUAUUGACAUUGAAGGUUUCAUUCUUUUUCACAUUUGCACAAAAGGGAACCCCAUUAUCAUUACUUGAAUUAUCUACAAAAAAGCAUAAAAUUGGGUGGCCGGUGUCACCGAGUUCAAUAUUUAAAAUAUUUAGAAAUCCUCAUUGAUAUUCAAAAUGCUUAUUGAUUUUAAGUCACAAUCCAAUUUUUAAUUUGAUUUCUGUUGUCAACCGAGCUGACUUAGGGAAAAAACUCUGGCUACAUUUGGGCUGAGCCUGAAAAUGUGUUUAUCUGUAAUAAUGAUUAUGUCGUAGGCAUAUUAGUUCCAUUCCCAGUCCAAGAAAAGAGACUACAUUCAUGCACAGCGCUAUGCUACAGCCAAAUCUUAACACAGGCUAGUAGGAUGCAUUCAGAUUUAAUGCCUAAAUAGACUAUUGGGUAUGGGAGAUAUUGAAAUUAAGUAUAUCUUCCUUCAACUUUUAUUAUCUUAGCCUGAUUUCUAUUUCCAGAUUAUUAUUAUUAUUAUAUUAUGAAGUUAACCUAAGAGCUGAGGAUCUCUGAGCUCUGAGACAGAAUGCUGAUUUGAACUUCACACCCAUUUUUUCUACUGUUUAUUACAAGGCAUCUUAAGUUCUUUCGUCCAUACAAAUCAAUGGCCCGGUUAAGAGAAAUGUGCUAUAAAACCUGAACUAUAGAAAUUAUUGGGGUCAGGAUUUAAUUUAUUGCCUUACAUUAAAAGAAUUUAUCAAUCUAACCAUUUCAGGUAUUGAAAUGAUUUGCAUAUGGUCCCUUUUAAUGUAAACAUUUGAGGGAAUUGCCACAGAUUUUGGUUCCAUAAAUCAACAUUAAUGUCAACCUAACAACUGUAACUUGAAGUUUAUACAGGAAACAUAGCCAACUAUAGUUUGAAAAUAGAAAGAAAUAAGACAGGAAAUCAAUAUCUGAAAGGAGAUUGGACAUAAUUAGGAAUGUUCACAAUUCAACUUAUACAUUUUAAAAUUGAAAAAAAAGCUAUUCAAUAUCCAAAUUAGAUUUCAUCAACAAAUAGAAAUCAAUCAAAAUGAAUGUAUCCAUCCAUAAAAGCAAUCACUAUUUUACAACUGUAUACCACAGUUGUUCUCAACUUGUGGUCCACGGACCUCUGGGUGGGUACAAUGUCAUCAUAAGAGGGUCCGCAAAGACUUGAAGAAAUGUUAUAUUUAAAUCUUGAGUUAAGUCUUGGUGGUUCAUGGCCUUGGUGUGUGGCCCCAAAAGAUAUUUAAAGGGGGUCUCCCGGUGAAGAAAAGAUUGAGAACUGCUGUGGUACACAGUAAUGUCCCCUUCCCAUGCCAAGCACAGUAGUCUUAGAUCUGUAGUGCAAACUAAGAUAGUAAAACACUACAAAUUGUUUGCAUUUUGUCAACAAAAUAUUAAUUUUAUAACUUUAGGCUCCACAACAUUAUUUCCAAAACCCUCAUUCCUAUAAGCAGCUGUUUUAAAUUUGAUUGGGAUAUUAAUUAAUUUCACUGUCUAUAUUAUAGUAUAAACGUGCAAUAUUACUAUAGGAAUUACUAUAAAGAUUUGCAUUUAUAUUAAGUUCAAUUUGAUUUAAAUUUAAAUUAGUUUUUGAAAAGGCAUGUACCUGAUGGUGUUUUCAGAUAUAUACAUACAUACUGGUUUGCAGACAAAUACACUACUAGGUAAACAUACUUUCCCUCCAGUCUUUCCCUCAUUGCUAUA
This is a non-coding RNA of Notechis scutatus (mainland tiger snake), 2957 nucleotides long. Lineage: Eukaryota; Metazoa; Chordata; Lepidosauria; Squamata; Elapidae. The record is from RefSeq and is a predicted model, not a curated record.